Phasianus colchicus (ring-necked pheasant) is the source of this 1107-nucleotide long non-coding RNA. RefSeq lists it as uncharacterized. Lineage: Eukaryota; Metazoa; Chordata; Aves; Galliformes; Phasianidae. The record is from RefSeq and is a predicted model, not a curated record.
GUUGGAGAUCUCUCUUCUGUGGAGUUUUAAUGUAAGCCUACAUCUUCAGAGAGAGGUGCUCCCUACCUCCAUUUUGCAGAGAAAGCCUGAGAGGAGCAGGCACUGGCACCCGCAGCAGGAGGAGCAGCCCUGUGUUUCUCUGGUGAGGUGCAAUUUGAAGCUGAGGAUUUUCAGUGCACCUGUUCCUGGAGGCUGGAAGCAAUGUUGCUUUUAAUUGGCUAAUGUUGCCCUAUAAAACUUGAGCUUUAAGACUCGGAAACCUGAUAGCUGCUUGGAGUUCCCUUGGAAAUAACCAGAGAUGGCCCAAGAGCACCUAAAAGGAAGAGCGUGUGGAGACUUGUGCUGAAAAAUACAAGAUUUCUCAGCCUUCUGUUUACUGAGCAAACUUGAUGCAGCAAUCAAAGGUGCCCACUGCUGCCCUGUUGGAGAACGAGCGUGGAUCCAAGCAGAGAAGAAGCUGUGCUGGAGUUGCUGCAGAAGUUCUGCUUGGGCUUCAAUUCUCAAGUGAAACCCUCUGCUGCCUGCUGAGCUCCACACCUGUAGUGAUCUGACCUUAGACCAGGGCCUGACUUAGUGCUCAGGACUGUAUAUUCAGCAGUGUUGUUUGCUCAGGGGCUGGCUGUUUUUAAGUAAGCAUGAAGUAGGACAGUAUAAGAGUAUAGGUUACCUUCUAUUUGUGUAUAUUUUCCAAAUCAUUUGCCAGAGCACCUCAAAAACAUAUUCUUUAAACCCAGUAAAAUCCUAAGGAAGCACAGGGCCAAACCCCAAUACCCCAGAGACUGCCUGACUUGGUCUCUGGCUAUGACCAGCUUUUUAAUUUGAGGGCACUUGUCUGGAUCCCUACCACGAUUAUACCAAAAGCAUCCUUUCCACAGUCAGAGGAUUAAGCCCUGCUCAGGUUUAAGGUCUCCUGCUCCCAGUCUGCAUUAAGCCAUCUGGUUUGUGUGCCGCUGACCUUUGUCAGUUCGCAUUAAUUCACAGGGGUUGAUGAAAGAGUUCCAAGCUGCAGAGCUAUGAGUCACUGCUGGGACAUAGAUGGGUAAUGAAAAAGCUGUUCCAUUUUGUUUUGAAUUCCAGAUCUUCACAAAUAAAUCUGUUUGGACCCAA